UAAACCAGGAUUAGAUACCCUAUUAUACUCAGGUGAAAAUUCUUAAAGGAGUAGUUGCUAUAGUCUUGAAACCUAAAAGGUAUGGCGGUGUUUAGUUGAAUCAGAGGAACCUGCCCAGUAAGCGAUAACCCCCGGUGUAUCUUACCUUUUUGGGUUUGUAUACCGUCGUCUAAGCUAUAUCCAUAGAUUAAAAGCUAAGAGCAGGAAUUAGGAAUUCAGAUCCAGGCGCAGCUUUGAAAGGUUGAGGUGGGUUACAAUUAAAUUUUUAAUGGAUAGGGGAAUAAACUUCCUUAUGAAACCGGAUUGAAAGUAAUUCAAGUUAAUAAG
Molecule: ribosomal RNA, 327 nt
Filed under: Trachelipus kytherensis
Lineage: Eukaryota; Metazoa; Arthropoda; Malacostraca; Isopoda; Trachelipodidae
Description: partial 12S ribosomal RNA
Source: RNAcentral